RNAcentral lists this ribosomal RNA (253 nucleotides) under uncultured bacterium. RNAcentral describes it as "partial 16S ribosomal RNA". It matches the Rfam family "Bacterial small subunit ribosomal RNA", at positions 524 to 776 of the family's 1533-position model. The record is from RNAcentral.
UACGUAGGGUGCGAGCGUUAAUCGGAAUUACUGGGCGUAAAGCGUGCGCAGGCGGUUUUGUAAGCCAGAUGUGAAAUCCCCGGGCUUAACCUGGGAACUGCAUUUGGGACUGCAAGGCUUGAGUGCGGCAGAGGAGACUGGAAUUCCUGGUGUAGCAGUGAAAUGCGUAGAUAUCAGGAGGAACACCGGUGGCGAAGGCGGAUCUCUGGGCCUUACCUGACGCUGAGGCGCGAAAGCUAGGGGAGCGAACAGG